This 590-nucleotide ribosomal RNA is filed under the name uncultured Burkholderia sp. RNAcentral's name for it is "bacterial SSU rRNA". It matches the Rfam family "Bacterial small subunit ribosomal RNA", at positions 418 to 1003 of the family's 1533-position model. The record is from RNAcentral. Lineage: Bacteria; Pseudomonadati; Pseudomonadota; Betaproteobacteria; Burkholderiales; Burkholderiaceae.
UCGGGUUGUAAAGCACUUUUGUCCGGAAAGAAAUCCUGAGGGCUAAUAUCCUUCGGGGAUGACGGUACCGGAAGAAUAAGCACCGGCUAACUACGUGCCAGCAGCGCGGUAAUCGUAGGGUGCGAGCGUUAAUCGGAAUUACUGGGCGUAAAGCGUGCGCAGGCGGUUCGCUAAGACCGAUGUGAAAUCCCCGGGCUUAACCUGGGAACUGCAUUGGUGACUGGCGGGCUAGAGUAUGGCAGAGGGGGGUAGAAUUCCACGUGUAGCAGUGAAAUGCGUAGAGAUGUGGAGGAAUACCGAUGGCGAAGGCAGCCCCCUGGGCCAAUACUGACGCUCAUGCACGAAAGCGUGGGGAGCAAACAGGAUUAGAUACCCUGGUAGUCCACGCCCUAAACGAUGUCAACUAGUUGUUGGGGAUUCAUUUCCUUAGUAACGUAGCUAACGCGUGAAGUUGACCGCCUGGGGAGUACGGUCGCAAGAUUAAAACUCAAAGGAAUUGACGGGGACCCGCACAAGCGGUGGAUGAUGUGGAUUAAUUCGAUGCAACGCGAAAAACCUUACCUACCCUUGACAUGGACGGAACCCUGCUG